AGUUCAUUUUGAAAUUAUGUAUAUUUUGAAGAAAUUGAUGAUGACAUCAGAUGAAAGCUCAUAAUCUUGGUGUCUUUCUGCAGGUGCUUUGCAGUGUGUUUUUCUAAUUCCUUUCUCCUCACAGCAGCAUCAUGAGUGUAGAGUCUGGAAAAACACACGUGGCUUGCUGCUCCAACUUCAAGGAUGACAUUCUUGGGGUUGAUCACUGGACUCCACUGCCUUUCCAACAUACUCUGGGGAGGCCGCACAGUUGUCAAGAGACAGAAGAAGUUAACAUUGAGGAAUCAGGCUAAAGAAAACGGACCAGAGGGUAACACGGUGGAUAAUGGACACGCCAACAUCAGCAUUGGGAAAAACAAAGAAGACCCAGACAAUGAGAGCAUUAUUUGAGGUGUUUGGGGAAGGCAACACCAUUGUAAUGCCAGUGAACCACACAGACUCUUUGUUGCUGAAGUGCUGUGCUGCAUCCAUAGUGGACCAAAUGUGGUAAUGGUACAGUGUCAGCACUCUAUUGUCUUCGAGCAGUACACCUCUUUUAUUUUUACAAAGAUAUGCUGAAAAUAUCAACUGCUGUUUGUUUACUUUAAAGGUCAAAGCUUAGUUUUACUAUGAACACCCAUCAAAUCACAUUCAGUUAUAUCCACUUCUGCACAAAAACAUAAACUUAGAGGUCAUUUUUAGUUCUACUUAAAAAAAAUCAAGAAAACAAAAUGGGCGCUGUUCACUUGUGAUGAUGUUUACCUAUGAAACUAAUUUCAGGGGAAGUGAAAAGAAAUUUGUAAAAUAUUUGUAAUCCCAUUGGACAGAGUGCAAUUUUUUUUUUGCCACUGAAAAGCUCAAAUUGUUAUAUGCGUCUGACUAUAUUAUGGAAAGGACCAUACAGAGAAACUUCUUUACCUCUUUACCUUUAUGUCUUUGUCUAUGUUGGACAAAGUCAAAAAGCCACCAGCUAAAAGACCCAGCUAUCUUUACUGGAGUUUGUGAAGACCACCAGUGCCAAAUGGACAGUAUUGGACUUACUUUGGUUGGUUGC
Molecule: long non-coding RNA, 1033 nt
Organism: Etheostoma spectabile (orangethroat darter)
Lineage: Eukaryota; Metazoa; Chordata; Actinopteri; Perciformes; Percidae
Exons: 2
Source: RefSeq, a predicted model, not a curated record